This 99-nucleotide transfer RNA is filed under the name Enhygromyxa salina. RNAcentral's name for it is "tRNA-Ser". The record is from RNAcentral. Lineage: Bacteria; Pseudomonadati; Myxococcota; Nannocystales; Nannocystaceae.
CUCGCAGCUGGCCAAGGCCCGCAAGCCCGGCAGUCGCUGACAGCCGCGGGGGUUCAAAUGAGCCCACCGAGCGACCGGCCGCUACGGCCGUGCGUGGCC